This 579-nucleotide ribosomal RNA is filed under the name Vishniacozyma victoriae. Its description in RNAcentral is "partial large subunit ribosomal RNA". It matches the Rfam family "Eukaryotic large subunit ribosomal RNA", at positions 84 to 653 of the family's 3401-position model. The record is from RNAcentral. Lineage: Eukaryota; Fungi; Basidiomycota; Tremellomycetes; Tremellales; Bulleribasidiaceae.
UAACGGCGAGUGAACCGGGAUGAGCUCAAAUUUAAAAUCUGGCGUCUUUCAGGCGUCCGAGUUGUAAUCUAUAGAGGCGUUUUCCGCGCCGGACCGCGUCCAAGUCUCUUGGAAUAGAGUAUCAAAGAGGGUGACAAUCCCGUACUUGACGCGACAACCGGUGCUCUGUGAUACGUUCUCAAUGAGUCGAGUUGUUUGGGAAUGCAGCUCUAAAUGGGUGGUAAAUUCCAUCUAAGGCUAAAUAUUGGCGAGAGACCGAUAGCGAACAAGUACCGUGAGGGAAAGAUGAAAAGCACUUUGGAAAGAGAGUUAAACAGCACGUGAAAUUGUUAAAAGGGAAACGAUUGAAGUCAGUCGUGUGAAAGGUAUUCAGCCGUCUCUGGCGGUGUAUUUGCCUUUCACGGGUCAACAUCAGUUUGAUCCGGUAGAAAAAGGCGGGAGGAAGGUGGCACCCUCGGGUGUGUUAUAGCCUCCUGUCAUAUGUGCCGGACCAGACUGAGGAACGCAGCUUGCCGCAAGGCCGGGGUUCGCCCACGUACAAGCUUAGGAUGUUGACAUAAUGGCUUUAAACGACCCGUC